AAAGCCCGGGGCUCAACCUCGGAACCGCAUUUGAAACUGGCAGGCUAGAGUCUUGUAGAGGGGGGUAGAAUUUCAGGUGUAGCGGUGAAAUGCGUAGAGAUCUGAAGGAAUACCAGUGGCGAAGCCGGCCCCCUGGACAAAGACUGACGCUCAGAUGCGAAAGCGUGGGUAGCAAACAGGAUUAGAUACCCUGGUAGUCCACGCCGUAAACGCUGUCUACUUGGAGGUUGAGGUUUAGACUUUGGCUUUCGGCGCUAACGCAUUAAGUAGACCGCCUGGGGAGUACGGCCGCAAGGUUAAAACUCAAAUGAAUUGACGGGGGCCCGCACAAGCGGUGGAGCAUGUGGUUUAAUUCGAUGCAACGCGAAGAACCUUACCUACUCUUGACAUCCAGAGAACUUUCCAGAGAUGGAUUGGUGCCUUCGGGAACUCUGAGACAGGUGCUGCAUGGCUGUCGUCAGCUCGUGUUGUGAAAUGUUGGGUUAAGUCCCGCAACGAGCGCAACCCUUAUCCUUGUUUGCCAGCACAUAAUGGUGGGAACUCCAGGGAGACUGCCGGUGAUAAACCGGAGGAAGGUGGGGACGACGUCAAGUCAUCAUGGCCCUUACGAGUAGGGCUACACACGUGCUACAAUGGCAGAUACAGAGGGCAGCGAAGCUGCGAAGUGGAGCGAAUCCCUUAAAGUCUGUCGUAGUCCGGAUUGGAGUCUGCAACUCGACUCC
RNAcentral lists this ribosomal RNA (722 nucleotides) under uncultured Salinivibrio sp. RNAcentral describes it as "bacterial SSU rRNA". It matches the Rfam family "Bacterial small subunit ribosomal RNA", at positions 597 to 1319 of the family's 1533-position model. Lineage: Bacteria; Pseudomonadati; Pseudomonadota; Gammaproteobacteria; Vibrionales; Vibrionaceae. The record is from RNAcentral.